ACUCAGUUACACUGGUUGUAAGGCAGAACUCAGGAUCCGCAUCGCGAAAAACAUAUUCUUGGUCGUACUGAUGGUGAGUUGACGCUGAUCUUAUAUUCAGUAGUUCUUGUCGGCUGUAUGUAAAGAAACCUAAGAUGACCUGGGGUACUAGUGUAAGAAAUAACACGUAAAAAAACAAAAAACUGCAUAGUUUCCUAGGAACGCGAAGCGAGGCGGCCAUCUCUGUCGGCGCCGGAAGUGUCAUGGUGGGAUAUGUGGGAGACUGGUGUGAGACAGGGCGAGACUUGGGAGAGAGACUGGGGAGACUUGGGUGAGAAUGAGGGAUAGAUAGCCAGGUGAGAAGUAGCCCGAGUGCCAGUCUGUUUGUGGUAUCAUGCCCAACUCAUUGUCAUUUUGGCUUGACAAGGACAGAAAUGGAGUUCGCAAGAGCACAAAGAGAUCUGGGACCAGACUAGAUGGGAAUACUAAUCCGAUACUAAUAGAGGUAUUUGUGAGAUAUGAACAGUGGCUUAGUGGAGGGUAUCCCCAGGUAUACGCCGUAUACCCGAAAAAAUGUCAGUGGAAGUACACUCACUUCUUAAUCCCCUAUGGGCACUGCAUACCCUCAAUUCUUGUUUACCCCUUUUUUCUCCACAAUUUCAUGGUAUCCAAUUGGUAGUAGUUACAGUCCUGUCUCAUUGCUGCAACUCCUGUACGGACAUGGGAGAGGCAAAGGUCAAGAGCCAUGCAUCCUCCGAAAUACAAUCCUAAUCCGGACGGCGCUGGGCCAAUUGUGCAUCGCCCCAUGGACCUCCCGGUCGCGGCCGGCUGUGACAGAGCCUGGGCUCAAACCCAGAAUGUCUGGUGGCACAGCUAGCACUGCGAUGCAGUGCCUUAGACCACUGCGCCACCCCUCACUUUUUAAUGAGUGUACUUCUAGUGUAAUGGCGGUAUACAUCGGAUCAAUUAUGUAGUACAAUAAAGAAAUCAUGCACAAAGUAUCCUACACAAACGCAAGGCACGUGAAAUACAUUACAUGACCAAAAGUAUGUGGACACCUGCUCGUUGAACAUCUCAUUCCAAAAUCAUGAGCAUUAAUAUGGAGUUGAUCCCCCUUUGCUGCCAUAGCAGCCUCCACUCUUCUGGGAAGCCUUUCCACUAGAUGUUGGAACAUUGCUGCUGGACCUCCUUCCAUUAAGCCACAAUAGCAUUAGUGAGGUUGGGCACUGAUGUUGGAUGAUUAGGCCUGGCUCACAGCCAUUCCAAUUCAUCCCAAAAGUGUUUGAUGGGGAUGAGGUCAGGGCUCUGUGCAGGCCAGUCAAGUUCUUCCACACUGAUCUCGACAAACCAUUUGCGUAUGGACCUCGCUUUGUGUGUGGGGGCAUAGUCAUGUUGAAACAGAAAAGGACCUUCCCCAAACUGUUGCCACAAAGUUGGAAGCACAGAGAUGUCUAGAAUGUCAUUGUCUGUUGUAGUGUUAAAACUUCC
Molecule: long non-coding RNA, 1467 nt
Organism: Oncorhynchus tshawytscha (Chinook salmon)
Lineage: Eukaryota; Metazoa; Chordata; Actinopteri; Salmoniformes; Salmonidae
Source: Ensembl